RNAcentral lists this ribosomal RNA (584 nucleotides) under uncultured bacterium. Its description in RNAcentral is "partial 16S ribosomal RNA". It matches the Rfam family "Bacterial small subunit ribosomal RNA", at positions 355 to 1375 of the family's 1533-position model. The record is from RNAcentral.
UGGGGAAUUUUGGACAAUGGGCGAAAGCCUGAUCCAGCAAUGCCGCGUGUGUGAAGAAGGCCUUCGGGUUGUAAAGCACUUUUGUCCGGAAAGAAAUCCUUGGCUCUAAUACAGUCGGGGGAUGACGGUACCGGAAGAAUAAGCACCGGCUAACUACGUGCCAGCAGCCGCGGUAAUACGUAGGGUGCAAGCGUUAAUCGGAAUUACUGGGCGUAAAGCGUGCACAGGCGGUUUGCUAAGACCGAUGUGAAAUCCCCGGGCUCAACCUGGGAACUGCAUUGGUGACUGGCAGGCUAGAGUAUGGCAGAGGGGGGUAGAAUUCCACGUGUAGCAGUGAAAUGCGUAGAGAUGUGGAGGAAUACCGAUGGCGAAGGCAGCCCCCUGGGCCAAUACUGACGCUCAUGCACGAAAGCGUGGGGAGCAAACAGGAUUAGAUACCCUGGUAGUCCACGCCCUAAACGAUGUCAACUAGUUGUUGGGGAUUCAUUCCUUAGUAACGUAGCUAACGCGUGAAGUUGACCGCCUGGGGAGUACGGUCGCAAGAUUAAAACUUAAAGGAAUUGACGGGGUCAUAGCUGUUUCCU